Molecule: long non-coding RNA, 581 nt
Organism: Salvia miltiorrhiza (redroot sage)
Lineage: Eukaryota; Viridiplantae; Streptophyta; Magnoliopsida; Lamiales; Lamiaceae
Exons: 3
Source: RefSeq, a predicted model, not a curated record
AAAAUAAGAAGAAUUUAUAUUAUAUAAUAAUUUGUGUUUGAACUUAAUUAAAAUACACUUUUUUUUUGAAAUAGAACUCAAUUAAAAUAUUAAUGACACUUAAUCAAAUAAUCAAAUUUCAGUUAACAUAAAUCCCUCCCACGAUUAACCCUAACCCCCUCUAUCCCUCAAACCCGCAGUCCCUCUCUCUCAAACGUUGUCCCUCUCCCUCAGUCCCGCCGUGCCUCCAUUCUUGCCGUUGUGCCUCCGUUCUUGCUGCCGUGCCUCCGUUCUCGUCGCCAAGGUUUAGAGUUGCACGAAUGUCUGUAUGGAAGUUCGUGUUAGAGUGGGUGAAUCUCAUUCUUAGUCACAUAUAAAAAGUAGAGGAUAUGCUGGAAAUGAAGCAAAAACAUGAGACUUUUGCUGAAUUUUCCAUGAAGAUUCUUCAACAAUAGACUACUAGAUAUUGUUUUGAAAAAAAAUAUUGUACUCUUUGUUUUGUAUAUUUAAUCUCUUGUCGUUGUUAGCUUCAUUUCAGUGUACAUUAACAGAAUAUGAAAUAUUGUGAAAUUAUAUAUGACAAUUAUAAUUUUUUAGUGUCU